GAUGAACGCUAGCUACAGGCUUAACACAUGCAAGUCGCGGGGCAGCAUGGGGGUUGCUUGCAAUCCCCGAUGGCGACCGGCGCACGGGUGAGUAACGCGUAUCCAACCUGCCCUUCACCACGGGAUAACCCGGCGAAAGUCGGACUAAUACCGUAUGUUGUCCAUUGACGGCAUCCGAUUUGGACGAAAGGUUUGGCGGUGAAGGAUGGGGAUGCGUCCGAUUAGCUGGACGGCGGGGUGACGGCCCACCGUGGCGACGAUCGGUAGGGGUUCUGAGAGGAAGGUCCUCCACACUGGAACUGAGACACGGUCCAGACUCCUACGGGAGGCAGCAGUGAGGAAUAUUGGUCAAUGGGCGUAAGCCUGAACCAGCCAAGUAGCGUGCAGGAUGACGGCCCUAUGGGUUGUAAACUGCUUUUAUGCGGGGAUAAAGUGGCCCACGUGUGGGUUUUUGCAGGUACCGCAUGAAUAAGGACCGGCUAAUUCCGUG
RNAcentral lists this ribosomal RNA (490 nucleotides) under uncultured bacterium. Its description in RNAcentral is "partial 16S ribosomal RNA". It matches the Rfam family "Bacterial small subunit ribosomal RNA", at positions 28 to 507 of the family's 1533-position model. The record is from RNAcentral.